UAGUUAUGUGGACGCGACGCCGGCACAUCCAACCCAACCCUAACACUAACCCUAUUUAAAUCGUUCUCUGGCGAUCGAAGCUGCGCCGCGCCGCGCCCGCGGAACAUAGUGAGAGGAUGAUACACAUUUUUGUCGGCGAUGGAGGGCGGAGGAGAAGUACGACCGCAAGCAUCCGGCGGGGGAGUGGAUCCUCCAGGGCGCGCAGGAGAUGCAGAUGAAUCUAUUCGACGACUUACAUUUUGGAGAGCCUUAAGGCAGUGCACAGCAGCUCCCAGAGCUGGCACCAACACCAGAGUGGCAGAAACUCCUUGAUCAUCGACGGAACGUUAAGGUCACCACGAUGCUCAACGGAAGAGAACAUGUUCUAGCCCUUAGGUCGUGCAAAGCAGCUCCCAGAGUCGCCCUUAGGUCGUGCAAAGCAGCUCCCAGAGUCGGCACCAACGUGAGAGUAACAGAAACUCAAAGACUGGUAUUUUGACUUAGUUUUACCAGUUCAUGCUUGGCAAAGUCGUAGCUGUUGGUUUGCUGUUAUUAUCUUCAGCCAUCGAUGAAGAACCCCAAUUAUACAUGCAGUGAAGAUUUGCAGAUGAAUCCUGGUACUCAUGAAACUGCAGUGCUAGUUGAGGAGGCUCCAGUCCCAGAACAGAAGCGUGAAUGAACAGCCUCAGAUGCAUGAUCAUACCUUUGGCAAAUAAGUUUCUCCGGUCGAACGGGCAAGGAUUAUGUAUUCUCGGAAAGGAAGCUUCCCGUGAGUCCCAUUUAACCGAAUGAGGCAUCAGGACAUCUGUGAGAUAAGGUCACUCGUCAAACGUUUGUCAACGCGACCCGAGAUGACGGGAAGAGACGUCUUCCACGUUGUUGCCGUAAAAUAGAUGGAGAAGCGAGCACUAAAAUGCCUUGUUUAUCUCUGCAAGAACUGAAUAAAAUCCCAAGCUGUUCCCUUUUUAGUACAGCUAUAAUGAAAGCCAAUUGAUAUGA
Molecule: long non-coding RNA, 978 nt
Organism: Musa acuminata AAA Group (dessert banana)
Lineage: Eukaryota; Viridiplantae; Streptophyta; Magnoliopsida; Zingiberales; Musaceae
Exons: 3
Source: RefSeq, a predicted model, not a curated record